UGGGGAAUCUUGGGCAAUGGGCGAAAGCCUGACCCAGCCACCCUGCUCGGCAGGGUCUGACGGUACCGUACGAAUAAGCACCGGCUAACUCCGUGCCAGCAGCCGCGGUAAUACGGAGGGUGCAAGCGUUGUCCGGAAUCACUGGGUGUAAAGGGUGUGUAGGCGGACCUAUAAGUCAGGGGUGAAAGCCACCGGCCCAACCGGUGAACUGCCCUUGAUACUGUAGGUCUUGAGUCCUGGAGGGGUCACUAGAAUUCGUGGUGUAGCGGUGAAAUGCGUAGAUAUCACGAGGAAUACCAGAGGUGAAGGCGGGUGACUGGACAGGUACUGACGCUGAGGCACGAAAGCGUGGGGAGCAAACAGGAUUAGAUACCCCUGUAGUCC
RNAcentral lists this ribosomal RNA (384 nucleotides) under uncultured prokaryote. Its description in RNAcentral is "bacterial SSU rRNA". It matches the Rfam family "Bacterial small subunit ribosomal RNA", at positions 355 to 796 of the family's 1533-position model. The record is from RNAcentral.